GCCUCCUUAGCUCAGCUGGUAGAGCGGUUCACUCGUAAUGAACAGGUCGCCGGUUCGAAUCCGGUGGGAGGCU
Molecule: transfer RNA, 73 nt
Filed under: Cyclobacteriaceae bacterium
Lineage: Bacteria; Pseudomonadati; Bacteroidota; Cytophagia; Cytophagales; Cyclobacteriaceae
Description: tRNA-Thr
Rfam family: tRNA
About the family: Transfer RNA (tRNA) molecules are approximately 80 nucleotides in length.
Source: RNAcentral